This 552-nucleotide ribosomal RNA is filed under the name uncultured archaeon. Its description in RNAcentral is "bacterial SSU rRNA". It matches the Rfam family "Archaeal small subunit ribosomal RNA", at positions 325 to 878 of the family's 1478-position model. The record is from RNAcentral.
ACGGGGUGCAGCAGGCGCGAAACCUUACAAUGCGGGAAACCGUGAUAAGGGAAUCUCGAGUGCCAGCAUAUAAUGUUGGCUGUCCAGAUGCCUAAAAAGCAUCUGUUAGCAAGGGCCGGGCAAGACCGGUGCCAGCCGCCGCGGUAACACCGGCGGCCCAAGUGGUAACCGCUUUUAUUGGGCCUAAAGCGCUCGUAGCCGGGCUUGCAAGUCCCUUGUGAAAUCGGACGGCUCAACCGUUCGGCGUGCAAGGGAUACUGCUGGCCUUGGGAUCGGGAGAGGUCGGGGGUACUCUGGGGGUAGCGGUGAAAUGCUGUAAUCCCUGGAGGACCACCAGUGGCGAAGGCGCCCGACCAUAACGGAUCCGACGGUAAGGGACGGAAGCUAGGGGAGCGAACGGGAUUAGAUACCCCGGUAGUCCUAGCAGUAAAGGAUGCGGGCUGGGUGUCAGGCGCCCUUCGAGAGCGCCUAGUGCCGUAGGGAAGCCGUUAAGCCCGCCGCCUGGGAAGUACGGCCGCAAGGCUGAAACUUAAAGGAAUUGGCAGGGGAGCA